AGAGUUUGAUCCUGGCUCAGGACGAACGCUGGCGGCGUGCUUAACACAUGCAAGUCGAACGGUGAUGACCAGCUUGCUGGUCUGAUCAGUGGCGAACGGGUGAGUAACACGUGAGCAACCUGCCCUUCACUCUGGGAUAACCACGGGAAACGGUGGCUAAUACCGGAUAUGAGACGUACACGCAUGUGUCGCGUCUGGAAAGAUUUAUCGGUGAGGGAUGGGCUCGCGGCCUAUCAGCUUGUUGGUGAGGUAAUGGCUCACCAAGGCGACGACGGGUAGCCGGCCUGAGAGGGUGACCGGCCACACUGGGACUGAGACACGGCCCAGACUCCUACGGGAGGCAGCAGUGGGGAAUAUUGCACAAUGGGCGCAAGCCUGAUGCAGCGACGCCGCGUGAGGGAUGAAGGCCUUCGGGUUGUAAACCGCUUUCAGCAGGGACGAAAUUGACGGUACCUGCAGAAGAAGCCCCGGCCAACUACGUGCCAGCAGCCGCGGUAACACGUAGGGGGCAAGCGUUGUCCGGAUUUAUUGGGCGUAAAGAGCUCGUAGGCGGUUUCGUAAGUCGGGUGUGAAAACUCUAGGCUCAACCUAGAGACGCCACCCGAUACUGCGAUGACUAGAGUCCGGUAGGGGAGUGUGGAAUUCCUGGUGUAGCGGUGAAAUGCGCAGAUAUCAGAGGAACACCAACGGCGAAGCAGCACUCUGGGCCGGAACUGACGCUGAGGAGCGAAAGCGUGGUAGCGAACAGGAUUAGAUACUCUGGUAGUCCACGCCGUAA
This 778-nucleotide ribosomal RNA is filed under the name uncultured bacterium. Its description in RNAcentral is "bacterial SSU rRNA". It matches the Rfam family "Bacterial small subunit ribosomal RNA", at positions 8 to 805 of the family's 1533-position model. The record is from RNAcentral.